Molecule: ribosomal RNA, 425 nt
Filed under: uncultured bacterium
Lineage: Bacteria
Description: bacterial SSU rRNA
Rfam family: Bacterial small subunit ribosomal RNA
Source: RNAcentral
AACGGGUGAGUAAUACAUCGGAACGUGCCCAGUCGUGGGGGAUAACGUAGCGAAAGCUACGCUAAUACCGCAUACGAACUCUGGUUGAAAGCGGGGGACUCGCAAGGGCCUCGCGCGAUUGGAGCGGCCGAUGGCAGAUUAGGUAGUUGGUGGGGUAAAGGCUCACCAAGCCGACGAUCUGUAGCUGGUCUGAGAGGACGACCAGCCACACUGGGACUGAGACACGGCCCAGACUCCUACGGGAGGCAGCAGUGGGGAAUUUUGGACAAUGGGCGCAAGCCUGAUCCAGCCAUUCCGCGUGCAGGAUGAAGGCCCUCGGGUUGUAAACUGCUUUUGUACGGAACGAAACGGCCUUGGUUAAUACCUGGGGCUAAUGACGGUACCGUAAGAAUAAGCACCGGCUAACUACGUGCCAGCCGCCGCGG